This 729-nucleotide long non-coding RNA is filed under the name Gallus gallus (chicken). Lineage: Eukaryota; Metazoa; Chordata; Aves; Galliformes; Phasianidae. The record is from RNAcentral.
UUAAGACAAGGGAGUGUUUUGUUGUUUUUUUUUUUAUUUGUGUUGUAGAAAAGGUGGAAGCUGCAGGCAAAAUAAGUUACAAGAGUUGUGUGGUUAGUAUCCUAGAUGUAUUAUUUACUGGUAAAUAUAUUUGCUGUUUGGCAAGUAAAGCUUACGAGUUGCCAGCCUGGCUACUUCUUUCUCUGUAGAGGAUGUGUUUGAUAAUUGUCAAGUUUUCAAGCAUGCUUUAGAUCAUUGCUGGGGAAGUUUUUUCUUUCUGGAAGUAUGUGGGGAUGAUCUGGUAAAGCCAAGUUAGACAAAUGAUUCAGUCUCCAUGGCCCAAUUUACCUACCACACGUCCCUCAUGAAGCAGGUGUAACAGGAAAUGAUGUUAAAUACCUCAGGCUUUCACAGAAUUGAGUCUUCAAAGUCAGUAUCAAUAUUUUUAUUGUUUUGUUCAGGACAGAUUACAUCCUCUCUUACGGUCACUUCACUUGAAUAAGUUUGAAAUGAUCAAGUUGAUCAACUUUUCUGGAAACCAUGAUGUAUCUGCUCACCAGUUCAGACAAUGCACCCUUUUGUUUCCCCUGAUUCAGACAGCAACGGGAAGAGAGGAAAGCAGGUUGCCACAUGGGGCUUGGAAGAACUGACUGUCUUGUUAGGGUGCGGUUGGAUAUCAGACCUCAGGUUGCACUCUAAGAUAAAACAGUGUUACUUGCUCACACAUUACACGAUUGACCUCUUACCAUG